Molecule: long non-coding RNA, 352 nt
Organism: Cannabis sativa
Lineage: Eukaryota; Viridiplantae; Streptophyta; Magnoliopsida; Rosales; Cannabaceae
Exons: 2
Source: RefSeq, a predicted model, not a curated record
GUGAAAAUCCCGGAUUGUGUGACUAGGAUUACCGGCACCUGGUCAGGAGCACCCGGGGAUUCAGAAUCUCUGCCUUUGCGGGACAACACGAAAGGGUAGGACUUAUGCUGAUCAGCCAUGAGUGCAGGAGCUGGACGAAGAAUGUACAUGUCCGGGCCAUAUCAGACCAAGCGGGUUAAGGGUCUAUCAGUGAUGAACUUUUGAACUCUAUUUUGUCGUUUAGGUCGGCUAGAAAUAAAUGACUUGUAAUAGCGUUUGUAAAUAUUUUUGGGAUCCCAACUAUUUUAAAAGUUUAAAUAUAUUACAAGUUUAUUUUCAUUUUGUUUAAUAUAAAAGUUUAAAUUCUGCGCUA